This 465-nucleotide ribosomal RNA is filed under the name uncultured bacterium. RNAcentral describes it as "partial 16S ribosomal RNA". It matches the Rfam family "Bacterial small subunit ribosomal RNA", at positions 28 to 507 of the family's 1533-position model. The record is from RNAcentral.
GAUGAACGCUGGCGGCGUGCUUAACACAUGCAAGUCGAACGGAAAGGCCCAAGCUUGCUUGGGUACUCGAGUGGCGAACGGGUGAGUAACACGUGGGUGAUCUGCCCUGCACUUCGGGAUAUGCCUGGGAAACUGGGUCUAAUACCGGAUAGGAUCACAUUUUGGAUGGUGUGGUGGAAUGUUUUGCGGUGUGGGAUGAGCUGGCGGCCUAUGAGCUUGUUGGUGGGGUAGUGGCAUACCAAGGGGGCGACGGGUAGCCGGCCUGAGAGCGUGUACGGCGACAUGAGGACUGAGGGAGGGACCAGACGGCAACGGGAGGCAGCAGGGGAGAGUAUGGCGCAAUGGGGGCAAGCCUGAGGCAGAGGCGCCGCGUGGGGGAUGACGGGCUUCGGGUGGUGAACACCUUUCGAUGGAGACGAGGCGGAAGUGACGGUACCUGGAGAGAAAGCACCGGCUAACUACGUG